RNAcentral lists this ribosomal RNA (1160 nucleotides) under Erythricium salmonicolor (pink disease fungus). Its description in RNAcentral is "eukaryotic LSU rRNA". The stretch from base 739 to 1160 matches the Rfam family "Eukaryotic large subunit ribosomal RNA", at positions 1 to 416 of the family's 3401-position model. The record is from RNAcentral. Lineage: Eukaryota; Fungi; Basidiomycota; Agaricomycetes; Corticiales; Corticiaceae.
CAACUUCUUAACGGCGAUAGUACUGCGGAGACAUUAAUGAAUUUUGAACUUGGGUUUAUGAUGCUGGCCUUCCGAGGCAAUUGUGCUCAACCCUUGCUCAUUUCAAUUCGUUCAACCCCUGUGCACCUUUCAGUGGCUUCAAUCUUUAAGGGACUUUUUUUUCUUGGACCUUGUAGUCGGAUAAAAACGACUUGAGGAAAGAGGGAAAUAGUCCUUGAUUGGCCAUGAUCUUUUUACAUACACUAUAAAAGUUUAGAAUGUUCAACUUGCGAUUAAACGCAUUUUAAUAUAACUUUCAACAACGGAUCUCUUGGCUCUCGCAUCGAUGAAGAACGCAGCGAAAUGCGAUAAGUAAUGUGAAUUGCAGAAUUCAGUGAAUCAUCGAAUCUUUGAACGCACCUUGCGCUCCUUGGUAUUCCGAGGAGCAUGCCUGUUUGAGUGUCAUGAAUCUCUCAAACCUUCAGUUUUGUUAACUCGGAACUUGAAGGCUUUGGACUUGGGGGCUUGCUGGCGAUUUUGUUAUUGUCGGCUCCUCUCUAAAUGCAUUAGCUGGAUCUUUCAACACAAGUAUCCUCGGUGUGAUAAUUAUCUACGCCGUGUUUUGUAUACUUUGUUGCGUGUGCUACCCCCUUAUGCUUAGCAUUGGGGUGUUUGUAGUCGCGGGCUUGAUUCAUUUCAGCCAAAGUCAUCAAGCUUAUAAUCGUCUCUGCAAAAUGAGACAAUUCAUUUUUUGACAUCUGACCUCAAAUCAGGUAGGACUACCCGCUGAACUUAAGCAUAUCAAUAAGCGGAGGAAAAGAAACUAACAAGGAUUCCCCUAGUAACUGCGAGUGAAGCGGGAAAAGCUCAAAUUUAAAAUCUGGUGGUCUUUGGCCAUCCGAGUUGUAAUCUAGAGAAGCGUUUUCCGUGCUGGACCGUGUACAAGUCUCUUGGAACAGAGCAUCAUAGAGGGUGAGAAUCCCGUCUCUGACACGGACUACCAGUGCUUUGUGAUACGCUCUCAAAGAGUCGCGUUGUUUGGGAAUGCAGCGCAAAAUGGGUGGUAUAUUCCAUCUAAAGCUAAAUAUUGGCGAGAGACCGAUAGCGAACAAGUACCGUGAGGGAAAGAUGAAAAGCACUUUGGAAAGAGAGUUAAACAGUACGUGAAAUUGUUGAAAGGG